AAGAUCUAUAAGGUUUUAAAAGCAGUUACUGACAUAUAAUAAGAAUUAGCACACCUGCAUAUUCCUACCAGUUCUCAGAGUCCUGUGGACAAUGAUUGAGGAGACAAACAAUGCAGGAAACAAGU
RNAcentral lists this small nucleolar RNA (125 nucleotides) under Nannospalax galili (Upper Galilee mountains blind mole rat). Its description in RNAcentral is "Small nucleolar RNA SNORA73 family (ENSNGAG00000006484.1)". Lineage: Eukaryota; Metazoa; Chordata; Mammalia; Rodentia; Spalacidae. The record is from RNAcentral.